This 1443-nucleotide ribosomal RNA is filed under the name Mycobacterium sp. HSC2034. Its description in RNAcentral is "bacterial SSU rRNA". It matches the Rfam family "Bacterial small subunit ribosomal RNA". Lineage: Bacteria; Bacillati; Actinomycetota; Actinomycetes; Mycobacteriales; Mycobacteriaceae. The record is from RNAcentral.
CAUGCAAGUCGAACGGAAAGGCCCCUUCGGGGGUACUCGAGUGGCGAACGGGUGAGUAACACGUGGGCAAUCUGCCCUGCACUUCGGGAUAAGCCUGGGAAACUGGGUCUAAUACCGGAUAUGACCUCGAGGCGCAUGCCUUGUGGUGGAAAGCUUUUGCGGUGUGGGAUGGGCCCGCGGCCUAUCAGCUUGUUGGUGGGGUGAUGGCCUACCAAGGCGACGACGGGUAGCCGGCCUGAGAGGGUGUCCGGCCACACUGGGACUGAGAUACGGCCCAGACUCCUACGGGAGGCAGCAGUGGGGAAUAUUGCACAAUGGGCGCAAGCCUGAUGCAGCGACGCCGCGUGGGGGAUGACGGCCUUCGGGUUGUAAACCUCUUUCACCAUCGACGAAGGUCCGGGGUUUCUCGGAUUGACGGUAGGUGGAGAAGAAGCACCGGCCAACUACGUGCCAGCAGCCGCGGUAAUACGUAGGGUGCGAGCGUUGUCCGGAAUUACUGGGCGUAAAGAGCUCGUAGGUGGUUUGUCGCGUUGUUCGUGAAAUCUCACGGCUUAACUGUGAGCGUGCGGGCGAUACGGGCAGACUAGAGUACUGCAGGGGAGACUGGAAUUCCUGGUGUAGCGGUGGAAUGCGCAGAUAUCAGGAGGAACACCGGUGGCGAAGGCGGGUCUCUGGGCAGUAACUGACGCUGAGGAGCGAAAGCGUGGGGAGCGAACAGGAUUAGAUACCCUGGUAGUCCACGCCGUAAACGGUGGGUACUAGGUGUGGGUUUCCUUCCUUGGGAUCCGUGCCGUAGCUAACGCAUUAAGUACCCCGCCUGGGGAGUACGGCCGCAAGGCUAAAACUCAAAGGAAUUGACGGGGGCCCGCACAAGCGGCGGAGCAUGUGGAUUAAUUCGAUGCAACGCGAAGAACCUUACCUGGGUUUGACAUGCACAGGACGCGUCUAGAGAUAGGCGUUCCCUUGUGGCCUGUGUGCAGGUGGUGCAUGGCUGUCGUCAGCUCGUGUCGUGAGAUGUUGGGUUAAGUCCCGCAACGAGCGCAACCCUUGUCUCAUGUUGCCAGCGGGUAAUGCCGGGGACUCGUGAGAGACUGCCGGGGUCAACUCGGAGGAAGGUGGGGAUGACGUCAAGUCAUCAUGCCCCUUAUGUCCAGGGCUUCACACAUGCUACAAUGGCCGGUACAAAGGGCUGCGAUGCCGCAAGGUUAAGCGAAUCCUUUUAAAGCCGGUCUCAGUUCGGAUCGGGGUCUGCAACUCGACCCCGUGAAGUCGGAGUCGCUAGUAAUCGCAGAUCAGCAACGCUGCGGUGAAUACGUUCCCGGGCCUUGUACACACCGCCCGUCACGUCAUGAAAGUCGGUAACACCCGAAGCCAGUGGCCUAACCUUUUGGAGGGAGCUGUCGAAGGUGGGAUCGGCGAUUGGGACGAAGUCGUAACAAGGUA